Molecule: non-coding RNA, 605 nt
Organism: Monodelphis domestica (gray short-tailed opossum)
Lineage: Eukaryota; Metazoa; Chordata; Mammalia; Didelphimorphia; Didelphidae
Source: RefSeq, a predicted model, not a curated record
UUUGCCCUGGUCAGUAAUAAUAAAUAUUGGUUCCAUUAAUUUGAACUUCUGGGUGUCUGGACUAGCUUUAUGAAAUGCACCACUUCAAUGUGACUUAAUUUACAUCACAGAAGAUAUGAGCAAAAGAGAAAGGAUUCCCUUGCACACCUAGGUGGCUAUUUAGAAAGAAUACCAGGCCUGGAGCUGGGAGGACCUGGAUUCAAAUUUGACCCAGAUACUUCCUAGCUGUUUGACCCUAGUGCUGAGAGAAAGGUGACCCUGAACAUCAGAGUUCCACAAAAAAAGAAAGACCACUGAGAGGAAUAUCCGCCUUGAAUUCUCCCCCAGAUUAUGAGAUAUAUACAUCUCCCAGUUAUGCUGAUACCAUUGGGCUGUAUCCUGGUCACCCCCUGUGUCUUCAGGACACAAGACAUCACCAUAGCCUUGGUCCGAUGACAAACAUCCCCUACUCCUACCUAACCACUUUCCAUCAUCCUUUAUCUAGUCAUGUAGUCCCUGUUGUUUAAAAGGUAUAAAAAGCCCAGAACAAUCUCCUUUAGGAGGCAACGCUCCACCUACAUUGUACUCCCAGUCAUCUCAACAUGAAUUCCAAAUCAAUAAAUUUC